UCGCUUUGGCAGCACAUAUACUAAAAUUGGAAUGAUACAGAGAAGAGUAGCAUGGCCCCUGUGCAAAGAUGACACAAAAAUUUGUGAUGCAUUCCAUAUUUUU
Molecule: small nuclear RNA, 103 nt
Organism: Lutra lutra (Eurasian river otter)
Lineage: Eukaryota; Metazoa; Chordata; Mammalia; Carnivora; Mustelidae
Source: RefSeq, a predicted model, not a curated record